CGGGACCCCCGGUGUCAAAGCCAAGGGAUGGGGAAGGCGGGCAGCGCCGUGUUAUGGCAGCACACCUCAGCCUGGCGCUGGGCUUUGUGCAGGUUCCGUUCGCCAAUCUGUGCUUUAACGCAGCACGAAUGGAAUGGUUUAAAGCCCGGACGUCACACGGGAAAGGACUGCAGGGCUGCGGGUGUCUCCGAACCUCAGUGCAUCUCCAGCGAACAGAAGCCUGCUCUGAUCUGUGUAAUGCAGCUAAAACGCUGUCACAAAGAGCUUAAGACAACGCACUUCCCUUAAUAUCAGUGCCACCAAGUAUCUGCUCAUGGUGCUCUCAAAGGUUGAAGCAUCCACCUGGAUCUCGUCUUCAUCCUGCAAAGCUGCUUCUAGAGCUGCCUGGACUUUGGGAGCAAUGGCUGGACCUUCGUAGUCUCUUGUUGUUCGGCUGGGCAUGUCAAGUUCCAGUAAUACAAUAUUCUCUGCCUGAGGAAGUACAAGUGGAAUUAAAGCCUAUACACUUUCAUACAAAUGGUUUCUUUUCCUCUGGAAACUUAUUCUGCAGGACAUUAUAAAUACAUGCAAGACACUCUGUACGUCCCAUCAAAGAACAAUCCUCUGAAAUUUACAUUUCUCUGAUUAGGAAGGUGAAUGUAUGAAGGCUGUAGCCACAUCUGGGCUUACCCUGUACCGAGCCUCUGGACGAAUCAUCAUGGACGUCCUGGCAUGCUGGCUCAGCGGCCUUUUGUAUCCUACAGCAGACACUGGUCUUUUCAUCAUUUGCUGGUUACUAGAAAACACAUAUUCAGUCUAUCAUACACCAAAAGUGAAGACUUCUUGGAGUUUAUGAGGUAAAACAUUUGGAGAUGUAUUUCAAGCAAGCAGAAACUACCUAGACUGCAUUUCCCAGAACAGCUCUUCCUACAGACAGAGAUGAGAAGGUAAGAUUGUUAUCCCUUGGCAUCUGCAUCUGUUCCCUGCAUGAAACGAGGGAUUUCUGCAUAAUUUUUAUCACAGAGGCCACAGAUGCACACAGCUGCACCUAACAUUCUAAGUUUACUUUACAGAACCUCCCCUGUAAAGAGGUAGGAUCUAUCCACAGCUCUCACAUCAUAAUUUUUGAGAGCUUUCUUAACCAAAUCAGACAACAAAUAUGAUAAGAGCUUACUGAUAUUAAAUGGUGCACGCAGUGUUACACAUAUUUUACAUUUAAAUGUCAGGCUCACUUAGAAGAAAUUUUCCAAACUGUAUAUUCCUAUUUUAUUUGACCUACUUAGAUGAAUGAAAACUUUGUUUUACAACACAGCAAGAAUACAUAAGAACUCUGGAAGGCUGUUUCAAAACCACGAUUUUCUCUGUUGGAGUACCUUGUUUUUGGCAACUAGAGGGCUUUAUGUGACCUAGGAUUUGAUCUUAAUUAGAAAAUCACAAGUACACUCACUCCAGACGGGUUAUGGGAUGCAGUUUCCACUGGUCUUCCUCUUCAUCAAAGAAUGACCUGUUCAUGAUCUUAUUCUUUUCUUCCAAAGGAAUAAAAUUUUCAAUAAUCAAGUGCCUGCAUACAACCACAAAAAUGGGAAAUACACAAGAAAUACAGUUAGCAGAUGACUCUCCACUGCUCCUCUCCCUGGGAAUUAAUACAGCCCUGGAAAAGGGAGGAACGUUUUAGCUUUCUCCUGUUUAAAUCUUGUUCUGCAAGCAUAUGAAUUCAGUCCCUCCUUUUACUCCCCACCCAUAGAAACAAUCUCUGUUACAGUUACCAGCAGGCAAUGAAGUGAAGGGACUCACUUCAGCUUUAGUUCCCUGGUAAGCUCAUUCUGGGUCUGUUCCAGUUCCUGGCGCUCCUUGAUGUGCUCUUCUUGGAGAUCAUGGAUCUCUGCCUUCACAGCUUGCAGCUUGGAAAAUAACUGGAAUAGACCACAGGAGCCAAAGUCACAAAUUUCCAAUGUUCAGGGGAACAUUCUCACACACAGGCUGGUUUUAUUUAAGCCACGAGAUGUGGACUCACGUUCUCUUUACCUUUUUAAGUUUCUUGGUCUUUAUAUCCACCUCUUGCUGAAGAGAACUGUAGGUCUCCUUCAGCUCCAGUGUUUCCUCAUCCCGACUUUCCAUCUGCUGCUGGAUCUCCCGCUCCCGACGUUUCUGAAGAAUGCCAGACACAGCAUAUAAAAGUUCCAUGUGAAAAACUGGAAGAGAACUAUUACAAACCUCCUCUACCAAUUUCACGCAACAAAUAGGAUGCAAGCCCUUGCCCCUUCUUUUGAAAUCAACAGUUGCCAUUAAAGCAAUGCCAGGGUUAGCCCUGUGCAAACUUUCUUGCCUUUUCUCCUCAUACAACCUUUUAUAAAAGUUCUGCAGGUAGGUUUGGGCUGGGUUUUUUGGUACACAGUAACUAACGCUGCUGCUUGUACCUGUUCUGCAAUCUCCUGUCGUUUCUGUUCCAGGAUUUUCUGCUGCUCGUUUGUGUGAUCCACAAUAUUUUUCCCUCCCACCAGAAGUUUGCUUUCCAUUGCCUGAAAGAAAAAGACAAGGUUGUACGUUUCCCUCCUGGUGACCAGAUAACAAAGUCUUUCCUACAGAACCCGACUUUCUCUACUUCUCCAACUUCUUCACGAGGACACCUCCCUUACUUAACAUUCUCUUCUUGUGAUAAGAUGUAUCAUCACGUCUUACUGUGCAGAUUGCUGAAGAUUCCACAAGACCAGCACAUAAGAACAAUGCAACAACUCAUGAAUAUUGAAGAACGUAAUUAAUGGUGGAAACGCAACAAAAUCUUCUGAUCAAACACAAAUCACUAUUCUGGAAAGCUUUUGAAAUAUUCUUCCAAAUUAAGCAACCAGCUAUUCUCCCCAUAGCCUAUCUAAAUUGCUUGUAAGAAGUACGAAAGCACAGCAAAGAAUUCUACCUUGAUUUUAGCACUCAGCAUUUCUGUUGCUUCCUUCUCUCGCCUCAAGUCCUCCAUUUUCUUCUCCUUCUCUUUCAGCAGUCUCAUCUUUUCUUCGGCUACCAAGCUGUGGUCCUCAACAAUAGCUUUCUUUUCAAUCUCCAGCUUCUCUUGUUGCUCUCUCCAAUAGUCAUCUUUGUCAUCCCCUUCAUCCUCACCCUCCUCAGUAUCCUCCUCUUCUUCCCCACCCUCUCUCCUCCUUUCCCUCCUCUUUCUUUUGCCAAUAGACCGCUUCUCCAGCUGUGCCUUGAGUCGCGCGAUUUCUUCCUGGAAUUCACGCAGCAGAGCAUCCUUAGGAUCCUCAUUCACUCUUGGCUUGUUCUUGAUGUUUUUGGCACGAUUGGCAUAUCUCAGCGUCGUGAGAGUCUCCUCUACAUUGUAAGAGGCAGGGCCUAUAUUGGCCACCAUCACGGUCUUGGCAUUGCCACCUAAUGAGUCUUGGAGUAACCUAGUUAGCUUUGAGUCCCGGUACGGAAUGU
Long non-coding RNA from Lagopus leucura (white-tailed ptarmigan), 3408 nucleotides. RefSeq lists it as uncharacterized. The record is from RefSeq and is a predicted model, not a curated record. NCBI's taxonomy places the organism in Eukaryota, Metazoa, Chordata, Aves, Galliformes, Phasianidae. The transcript has 5 exons.